CCAUCCUCUGGAUGCUGAUUGGCUGUGCACAGGCGACUGACAAGCCAGGAAGUGCCGCGGGGGGAGCUGCUGGCUCUGUCCGAAGAACCAAUGUGGGGUUCAGGGAAGAGGGAUCUUGGAGGUUUUGUGGGUGAGAGGGCUCGAGGAUCCUGGGAAUCAGAGACCGAACUAGACCUCAGUACCACCGCAGAAUGGGCAGCACCUUCCGGAAUGGUCUUCGAAGCGAACUGAUUCCUUCUCGGCUACAAGUGAAUCUGGAAUCUAGACGCCACGACGGGUUCUUGAUCUCGGUACCUUUCUGGUCCCAGCGAGCUUCCCAGCCCUCAAAGGGGGCGUGUUUUGUGUCUGUUUCGGAGUGGAGCCUUUGGCCUGAUUUUAAUAAAUACCCCGCCCGCUGCACCAACCUUUCCUGAAAGCCACCCUUGAUCAGAAUGUUGCCAUCCCAAUUCAACCAUUUUCAAAACUUCAUAUUGUUCACACAAAAUCCUAAGAACUUGGUCACCAUGGUCCACCACCAGGACGCCUUGAAAGUACCAGCAGAAUCAGAAAAGGGUCAAAGAAAAGCCUUUCAAGGCCAAAGAAAUGAACCUACAUGCAGUAAGACCCUAGACUAGGGAAUGAAGAAGCCAAAGUUGCCCCAACUAAGUCAAGAAAGAGGUCAGGCCUGGGAAGCUAGAAGUCCAUGACUCAAGUUCCAGCUCCUAACACUAUAAGGCAAUCUUGGAUAGUACUAAUUAGUACAGACUCCUAGAAAUACCAGUAAUCUGGAUGGAACCUCUAAUGUCACAGAUGAUGAAACUAAGGCCUACAAACAGAACAGACUGUGCCUACAAUCCCACAGCAAAUCUUGGGAUAGAGCAGAAAGAACCCAAAUAAUUCACUUCUAAGUCCAAUAUUCUUUAUUUCAUGAAAACAGACCUGUGGAAUAAAGUGGAAUAUCCAGAAACAGACAAGUACACAGAGGUAGCAUCUCAAACCCCUGAAUCAAAGAUAGACAUUUUAACAGAUAGUGUUGUGAUAGUUGGGUAGCAAUUUGUGAAAAGCUAAAAUUAGGUUAAUAUCACAAAUAAUAUACAAGAAUAAAUUCCAAAUGGAUUACCAAAAUAAAUGUUAAAAACCCCAAAUCAGAUAUGUUCCAGAAGAAAAUAGGAGGUAAUUCCACCUUUAACUUUGGUGUAAGACAUUCUAUGACUCAUCCAGGGACAAAGAGAGAAAAGGUCAAUAUAUUUGCCCAUUUAUGAAAAAACAACAAUACAACUCCUGCAAAAAUAAUACCAGAACAAUUCAAACUGUAAAUUCAGCUUGAAAAAAUUCAGCACAAUUAUGUCAUACAGAUAGACAAAGCAUACUGAAAAGUGGGCAAAAGUCAAUUAACAAGAAGAUAUAAAAGUCUCCUUUAAACAUGAAACAUGUUCAACCUCACAAACACUAAAAAAAUUCAAAGUAAAACUCCUGUGAGGAGAAAGCCGUAAGAAGAAUGAAGACCUAUCUGAGAGCUGGGAGAUGGGGAUGGGACAGGGAAAGGAUACUGGAGAGAGGAUAGAGCAGAGCAG
This is a long non-coding RNA of Lutra lutra (Eurasian river otter), 1553 nucleotides long. RefSeq lists it as uncharacterized. The transcript has 2 exons. NCBI's taxonomy places the organism in Eukaryota, Metazoa, Chordata, Mammalia, Carnivora, Mustelidae. The record is from RefSeq and is a predicted model, not a curated record.